UUUAUCUCCUGUUCUUAAACAUGUCAACAUUUGAGGGUACAAAAUGCACACUGCAUCAACUACAGCUACUAAAGACACAAUAGAAAAAAACAUAGUAAAAUGUUUAACCUUUAAUACCUUGGCUAUCUAGUUGUCAUGAAACGAUCAGAGAUCAGAGACUUUUACAUGAAGCGGAAGUAUCACAGUAGAGAGAAUACAGUUCUAUAUCAGUAAAAUACAUCCCUUCAGCGUGUUUUUCCCAGGCUACAGAGAGUUAGUGGUGAAAGGCUGCCACUUGUAGACCAGGACAUUUACAACCUCCAUUAUAGAGAAGAACAGUGCUUUAGUUAUACAUGGAUGGAUCCUCCAUUCCGGUUCUCACGGUUUCCAACCACAUUCAAUCCACAACACAGGGCCUGCGGUAACCAAGAUAAAAAGGGCUCAAUUCAGAGAUAUAGUCUGUUUGGAUGGAUCACGCUGCCUGAGGAGGGUGCUGCUUGUUCCAUGUAUUAAAAAAAACUUUCAAAACAGAAUCUUCAAACAUACCAAUCUGUGUCUUGCUCUGUUGUGGAAAAACGGAAAAGAAACCUUGAUGGAAAUGUUUCAUUUUUCCACCAACAGCUGCUAAACAAAAAACCCAGAUCUCUUCAUGUGCAUCUUUAGUUUCUUUGUUUAUUUGAUAAACCCUAUUUGCAUUUGGAAACAGCUUGGGUAAUUUGACUGGGGACUGACAAUUUGCCUGUAAGGAGAUAACUGUAGUUCAAACAUUUUCUCUCUGUCUCUUCUUUACUCUGCACUUGGCAUUCAUCAGUGUGUGUGUGUGUGUGGGGUAGAAAGAGAGAGAACUCCUCAUUGCUGCAUGGACUUAAUGUGAGACAGACGAGAUGAAAGUACCACAGCAGCCCAUCAUUGGCUACCACUAUCACCAUAGAAACAGGCGUGACCUUAUAAAGGUCAUGGGGAGUUUGGGACAUCCAUACCCCAGUCAGCUGACAGGUCUGUUUUUGUGUAUCCCUUGUGGCUCAGUUGAUAGAGCAUGGCACUUCAACACUAGGGUGGUAGGUUCAAUUCCCAAGGGGGACUAUUAUACAAAAUGUAUCCUCCUGUAAGAGCGCCUGCCAAAAUGUAAAUAUCUGUGCGUUCCCUUGAAAACGUCUAUGUUGUGUAUUUUAACCCUUCAGAAUAAAAGCCUGAACUCUAUGGAAAGAUGAGGCUGUCAUGAACACGAUGGUGCUCUCCUACCUCCACAAGCCCCACCGGGACUCGUUUGUAUUACUAUUUGAUUCUUCUCACUUUUGUUUGUAUUUUCACUUGCUUUGGCAAUGUAAACAUAUGUUUCCCAUGCCAAUAACUGAAUGCCAUUGAAUUGAAAUUGAAUUGAGUCUCAGUGCUCAGUGAGAGAGAGAGCCUCAUGGACAAACUCAAUGGCAGACCUGAACAGCUGGAGAUCCACUCAGAGUCGGUCUCUUAAUGCAGUCCUGCCACACAUAAUGAACUGAGGCCCUGCACAGCAGGAUACAUUUUACUCAGGAGCACACAAGUAGUCUCGGCUAGCUAGCUAGCAUCUACUGCUACCUCCUAGCCACACAACAGAGCAACAACAAACCCACACUCAUCUCAACAAUCUGCCUUGAAGUCUGUUGAGUGUCUGUUAUGACAAUGUGCUGAUAUAAAAGUUAUUUGCGGAUCUUCCUUUCAUGGUUUUUAAAACAACAAUUGGCCAAUAAAGCAGCAGAUCAAAAGCUAACAGCCUACGCUAGCUCCACGCAUCACCUCAUUCUCCUCAGGGGGAGAUUUGGCACCUCACUGCAAAGCCCGGCAACACAAUUACCUCAGCCUAAACCUGUCAGCAGACUAUUACAGCAGCUCGUGUGUGUGUUCGUGUGUGUGUGUCAACACACCAUUACAGCCCAAGCCACCUAUUAUGGGGAUGGGGAAUGGAGUCCAAAGCCAUUGUAGUGAAAAGGUGUUGUCAGAUAUAGGCUGGCGGAAUGUGGCUACAGGGUAUUUGAUGGUGGAGGUUGGCCUAUAGAGCAAUCAUGGCUUCUAAAAACAUGGUUAAAUCUGUAGGUUCUCCUCAGCACCCUUAAUACUGAACACUGAUGGUAUGGUGCAGCUGAUGGAAGGUUCUGGAAGAACACUGAUGGUAUGGUGCUGCUGAUGGAAGGAUAUGGAAGAACACUGAUGGUAUGGUGCUGCUGAUGGAAGGAUAUGGAAGAACA
This 2201-nucleotide long non-coding RNA is filed under the name Salmo salar (Atlantic salmon). RNAcentral's name for it is "lncRNA (ENSSSAG00000107610.1)". Lineage: Eukaryota; Metazoa; Chordata; Actinopteri; Salmoniformes; Salmonidae. The record is from RNAcentral.